This 1711-nucleotide ribosomal RNA is filed under the name Escherichia coli. RNAcentral describes it as "partial 23S ribosomal RNA". It matches the Rfam family "Bacterial large subunit ribosomal RNA", at positions 1237 to 2925 of the family's 2925-position model. The record is from RNAcentral. Lineage: Bacteria; Pseudomonadati; Pseudomonadota; Gammaproteobacteria; Enterobacterales; Enterobacteriaceae.
CGUUCUGUAAGCCUGUGAAGGUGGCCUGUGAGGGUUGCUGGAGGUAUCAGAAGUGCGAAUGCUGACAUAAGUAACGAUAAAGCGGGUGAAAAGCCCGCUCGCCGGAAGACCAAGGGUUCCUGUCCAACGUUAAUCGGGGCAGGGUGAGUCGACCCCUAAGGCGAGGCCGAAAGGCGUAGUCGAUGGGAAACAGGUUAAUAUUCCUGUACUUGGUGUUACUGCGAAGGGGGGACGGAGAAGGCUAUGUUGGCCGGGCGACGGUUGUCCCGGUUUAAGCGUGUAGGCUGGUUUUCCAGGCAAAUCCGGAAAAUCAAGGCUGAGGCGUGAUGACGAGGCACUACGGUGCUGAAGCGACAAAUGCCCUGCUUCCAGGAAAAGCCUCUAAGCAUCAGGUAACAUCAAAUCGUACCCCAAACCGACACAGGUGGUCAGGUAGAGAAUACCAAGGCGCUUGAGAGAACUCGGGUGAAGGAACUAGGCAAAAUGGUGCCGUAACUUCGGGAGAAGGCACGCUGAUAUGUAGGUGAAGCGACUUGCUCGUGGAGCUGAAAUCAGUCGAAGAUACCAGCUGGCUGCAACUGUUUAUUAAAAACACAGCACUGUGCAAACACGAAAGUGGACGUAUACGGUGUGACGCCUGCCCGGUGCCGGAAGGUUAAUUGAUGGGGUUAGCGGUAACGCGAAGCUCUUGAUCGAAGCCCCGGUAAACGGCGGCCGUAACUAUAACGGUCCUAAGGUAGCGAAAUUCCUUGUCGGGUAAGUUCCGACCUGCACGAAUGGCGUAAUGAUGGCCAGGCUGUCUCCACCCGAGACUCAGUGAAAUUGAACUCGCUGUGAAGAUGCAGUGUACCCGCGGCAAGACGGAAAGACCCCGUGAACCUUUACUAUAGCUUGACACUGAACAUUGAGCCUUGAUGUGUAGGAUAGGUGGGAGGCUUUGAAGUGUGGACGCCAGUCUGCAUGGAGCCGACCUUGAAAUACCACCCUUUAAUGUUUGAUGUUCUAACGUGGGCCCCUUACCGGGGUUGCGGACAGUGUCUGGUGGGUAGUUUGACUGGGGCGGUCUCCUCCUAAAGAGUAACGGAGGAGCACGAAGGUUGGCUAAUCCUGGUCGGACAUCAGGAGGUUAGUGCAAUGGCAUAAGCCAGCUUGACUGCGAGCGUGACGGCGCGAGCAGGUGCGAAAGCAGGUCAUAGUGAUCCGGUGGUUCUGAAUGGAAGGGCCAUCGCUCAACGGAUAAAAGGUACUCCGGGGAUAACAGGCUGAUACCGCCCAAGAGUUCAUAUCGACGGCGGUGUUUGGCACCUCGAUGUCGGCUCAUCACAUCCUGGGGCUGAAGUAGGUCCCAAGGGUAUGGCUGUUCGCCAUUUAAAGUGGUACGCGAGCUGGGUUUAGAACGUCGUGAGACAGUUCGGUCCCUAUCUGCCGUGGGCGCUGGAGAACUGAGGGGGGCUGCUCCUAGUACGAGAGGACCGGAGUGGACGCAUCACUGGUGUUCGGGUUGUCAUGCCAAUGGCACUGCCCGGUAGCUAAAUGCGGAAGAGAUAAGUGCUGAAAGCAUCUAAGCACGAAACUUGCCCCGAGAUGAGUUCUCCCUGACUCCUUGAGAGUCCUGAAGGAACGUUGAAGACGACGACGUUGAUAGGCCGGGUGUGUAAGCGCAGCGAUGCGUUGAGCUAACCGGUACUAAUGAACCGUGAGGCUUAACCUU